RNAcentral lists this ribosomal RNA (408 nucleotides) under uncultured bacterium. RNAcentral describes it as "partial 16S ribosomal RNA". It matches the Rfam family "Bacterial small subunit ribosomal RNA", at positions 28 to 526 of the family's 1533-position model. The record is from RNAcentral.
GACGAACGCUGGCGGCGUGCUUAACACAUGCAAGUCGCACGAAGUGGCGAACGGGUGAGUAACGCGUAAUCAACCUGCCCUUCAGAGGGGGACAACAGUUGGAAACGACUGCUAAUCCCGCCUACUGACGGAGGGGAUUGCGUCUGAUUAGCUAGUUGGAGGGGUAACGGCCCACCAAGGCGAUGCUCCGUAGGCGGUCUGAGAGGAUGAACGGCGACAUUGGGACUUCGACUGGGCCCAGACUCCUUCGGGAGGCAGCAGUGGGUGAUCUUCCGCAAUUGACGAAAGUCUGACGGGGCAACGCCGCGGGAGUGAUGACGGCCUUCGGGUUGUAAAGCUCUGUUAAUCGGGACGCGGUACCGAAAUAGAAUGCCACGGCUAACUACGUGCCAGCAGCCGCGGUAAUAC